RNAcentral lists this long non-coding RNA (4118 nucleotides) under Nicotiana tabacum (common tobacco). RNAcentral describes it as "long non-coding RNA (NTAB_LNC012824)". The record is from RNAcentral. Lineage: Eukaryota; Viridiplantae; Streptophyta; Magnoliopsida; Solanales; Solanaceae.
UAAAUCUAAUCCCAAACGACUCCCCAACACUAUUUAUCGUCUUAUUCACCCCAAAAUCGUUCUCAACUCGCCUGAAACUCAGGCGAGUUCACUCGCACGGGCUCCAUCUUCACCACGUCACCAAAGAUUCUAACGGUUUCUGACAAUUUUUCCUCUCCCAUGUGCUGAAGUCGUUUGGAAUUUCUGAAGAAUGAAUUCCGAAAAUGGGAGCCGUGGAUUGAUUUUGGGAUCAAUCCUGUCCUUCCAUCUAUCAGGAUUCGUUCUAAAGGAGAUUUUCUUUCGGAUUUCUUGUGAAAAAGAGAAGAAACUUCGAGAGACAGGUAUAUAUACCAGGUCUGGUUUGAGGAGAAUUUUUUGGAGACAGAGGUCAUUUGGAAAAAAUUAGGGUUCUAAGAAAGUUUCUCGUCUUCUCUUUUGUUCAUCUGCAGUCUUUUCUUGUUUAAUUCCAGUCACAAUAGAAAAACAAAAAAAAAAUUGUUUCGUUUAGUUUGAUAUUAGCAUCUUUGUUCUCUUUAUCUUUAAAUUCAGAAAAUUUCACUUUUAUUAUGAGUUUGGAUUGAGUUCGAGAGAAGAGGCUUGUUCGAAGGUCACGAUUUGCGGUUCCGAGAUUAAUUUGCUAUUUUGUACGUAUCAAUUGCAGGUUUAUUUCUUUCCUCUACUACUAUUUUUUGGUGUGUAAAAUAUGAUGAAAGCUUAGAAAUAAAUGUUGAGUUUGAGGUUUAAUAGAAGCAUUUAUUUGUGAGUCUCAAAUGGUGUCGAUUCUGGAUUUUGAUCGAGCCCCGUUUCACUUUUGUGCUUAAAGCAUUUUCUAAGUUUGUAUUUGCUCAUUUUGAAUAUUUUCAAUUAAAUUUCAGCAUGAUUUUUAAUUCCAUAAUUCUCUUAGAGUACUCUUGGUAUCAUUUUCAGGCUUAAACUUGCUCAAACAUGCUUAUUUCAAGUUAGAGGUCAUUGUAUGAAGGUUCAAUGAUUGCUCGUCCUGUUUUCUCAUGAAAAUCUCUGUUUUUUGGUUAAAUUAGAGUUUUAAAAAAUGAAAUCGAAAAAUCAUCUUCUGAGUUCCUUGCUUGUUCUUAUAUGAACUAGCAUCGAGUCUUGUUUUCAAGUAUAAAUUAGUGUCAAGUUGUUCCUUACUUCACAUGUUCAGGAACAAGUUUUUGGUGAGUCCUUUUGUUGCUGAUGUUUGAAUUUGAAAUGAGUGUUGAAGUCAUCUGGGGUUUUUAAUUACCGGGACUCCUUUCUUGCUUCUUCUUUUCCUGUUCCGUUGUCGAUAAAGGUCCCUAGUCAACUUCUUUACUUCAUUUUCUUUUACACUUAUAUUUCUGCUUAUGUGAUGAUGGUUUUAAACAUGAUAUUGGCUCUUUGUGUUCUAUUUGAAUAUUCAAACCAUAUUCUUAGAGUCUCGUUAAUCUUAGUUUGGAAGUUGUUUGUUAAUCUAUGAAAGGCUCUACUCUACUGAUGGUCCAAUUCUAAACUUCAUCUGUAAUGUUAAUUCCUUAAUUUGUUUAUGUUGAUGCUCAAAUGAGUAUUUGUUUAGAUUGUUGGUUGCUUGUGCUCUUGCAUGGUUAUUAUUAAGAAAGAAAGAUGAGAGUGAGGUCUCUUUCAUGCAUCCUGAUGGAUCUAGCAUAGUUGAUGUAUUAUUUUAAUUUGAAAGAAAAUCCCUGCCAUGAGCUGUAGUCUAGGAUAGUGUUUUCUUAAAUUUUUAACAAACAUGUAUGUUAAAUUCGUGUGUGGUGCCUCUUGAGAUAGAGAUAGUCAAGCCUUAAACCAGCUCUUAUUUAAUACUAACCUAGCUGCAGUCUUCUAUUACAAGUUGGCUCAUAACCUAAAUAGCUAGUAGGGUCAAGGCAUUGAAAUUAAUUAAUUGAUAAUAAAUGGGCAUCGAGAUUGCUAGACAUUGUUAAAGAAUUGGUUUGGUUUAAAUUAAUCAUAAAAUAAUUUGACCGUAGGAGUAGUUGGAACUAAUUGGACCAAACAAUUUUAGAGAAAAGUGUAUUUGAGUCUUAGUUUUCUUUUGAAUUCUGAGCCUUACGAUACAAUGAUCUUAAAGUAGAAAAUAAUUCAAUGUAGAAUAUUUAGGCGUGCAUUUAAUUUAUUAUCGUGAUUAUGUACACGUUUACGUGACAUGAUUGCGACUUCUAAAAAUGAAUAUUCGUAGUUUGCUUUAGGCACGAAUUAAUCUAUCGUCAUGAUUGUGGACACGUUUGCGUGACAUGGUUACGAUUUUUAAAAAUAAAAUCGGAGUAUGUGUUUGCGCAACUUCGAAUAAAUAUUCUUAAUAAUAAUAAAGCGUUAUUAAUUGUGGACACGUUCGCGUGACAUGAUUUUUGACGCGCCAAACAAAUGGGUACAAGUACGCGUGACCUGUUUUAAGAUAAUUUCUUAAUUAAAAGAGGCAAACACACAUAGGUUCUAAAAUGAGUAAUUAGACAAUUCGUUUAAGCCAAGUAUGAUCAAAGCGACCAUGCUAGAACUACGGAACCCGAAAAUGUCCAACACCUUCUCCCAGGUUAACAAAAUUCCUUACCCAGAUUUCUGUGUUCGCAGACCAUAUAUAAGAGUCAACUUUCAUCGAUUCGGGAUUUUAAACCGGUGACUUGGGAUACCAUAAAUUAUCCCAAGUAGCGACUCUGAUUUUUAAAUAAAUAAUAUCGUUUCGAUUGUAACUUAAAUUGAAAAAAAUCCCUUAUACCCCUUUCGGGAUGGUAAAAGGAGGUGUGACAGCUUUGGCGACUCUGCUCGGGAUAAAAACCCAGAAUCUCUGGUUCAGGGUUCAAGAAUUCGAGCUUUUUAAUAUGAUUUUAUUUGGCUUUAUUUAUUGUUAAUAUUGCUGUAUUUUGUGAACCUUUUGUGCUAAUUGUUGUCUAUUUACCGCUUUAGUAUUAUUUAAAUUGUAUAUAUCUGUAUUCUUACGCCACCCCUCUGAGUCUUCAAAAAACGGUGCACACGUUCGCGUGGCCCGCUUUUUCUGUAGAAGUUUUACCAAAUAGAACGAGGCUUGGCCAACAACAAGGCCAGGUAGACUUUCGUGCUCCCGGUACGUUGCCCCCUCUUCGGCUUGCAUAGUCCGUUGGGGUAAGCCAGGUCAAGAACACAACCCCAAGUUUUAAACCUAGAAAAACACAAUCUCAUGCCGAAUCCCUAGUAGGAGCGUUUGUUUGCAUCACGUGCAUUUAACCUUGGGGACUUAACACAGGGGUUGGGUCCGUCUAGGACAGGUGUACCUAAAAUAACUGACCAUCCUGAUGCAUCCUAUGUGCUAUGUGGACAUUUAUUUGUUUUGGCUUGCAUGUUGACCGGUUAGGAAAAGUAAAUCAAGGGAAAAACCAAGAGUGAUGUAGGGAAAAAAUAAAGUCCGGUUCUGAAAAAUCCCCAGUAUUUGGAAAUGCCCUGAAACUCUGCCGAAAAUUUCAAAAAAAAGAGAAGAAGAAAAAGAGUAAAGGAAAAAGAGUCAUUUCAAAAUAAGUCAAUAAUGUGUCCCUUUCAACUAUGUCAAAACCGACUGAACUGCGCAGGUUUGAUUCCCACCGAAUGUGGGAUACAUAGGCAACCUACGUACGGUUCGGCCAUAUUUUUUUUUAAAAAAAAAAAGAGAAAAAAAAAGAGUAAACGGUCAAACAAAUGUAGUUUAGGGCUUUGGUCAAAAGAAUAAGCCGAUCCAGCUUUGGUUAUGUCUUAAGCCAUUUUUGCUGGGAUAGCCUUAGAGUAUCUUCAGUUGUCGAAGGACUAUUUUCGUAAAGAACAGAUAAGUCUGUCGGUAAAGUGUCAUUUUUUCCAUAAAUUACUUGUCCCUGGCCUCAAAAUUUAUUUGAAAUUGUGAAGAGGCCACGUUUGCAAAAACAACCAUUUUUUGCUAAAAGUAGUAUAGAGGGGAGAGGGUCAUGGUCCGUUGAUUUUUUCUUUUAGAAAUUGAAAAACUUGUUUUAUAAAAAGUCCACCAGAGUUAAACCUAACCUUAGCCUUCCACAGGUACAAACAAACACUGUCCAGAAUCCGUCAGAGUUGAUCAUAGAACAGGCUCAGCUGCAACUAUGUAUGUGGUGGAAUGAUCUAGAUGAAGAUGGUCGGGAUUGGGUGAAAGAGCAGUUUGGUGCCCUUAUAAACAUUCUGGAAAUCGAACCACG